RNAcentral lists this ribosomal RNA (514 nucleotides) under uncultured Glomus. Its description in RNAcentral is "SSU rRNA". It matches the Rfam family "Eukaryotic small subunit ribosomal RNA", at positions 569 to 1084 of the family's 1831-position model. Lineage: Eukaryota; Fungi; Glomeromycota; Glomeromycetes; Glomerales; Glomeraceae. The record is from RNAcentral.
AGCAGCCGCGGUAAUUCCAGCUCCAAUAGCGUAUAUUAAAGUUGUUGCAGUUAAAAAGCUCGUAGUUGAAUUUCGGAAUCAGUACGCUGGUCGUGCCUCCGGUAUGUACUGGUGUCACUGAUUCCUCCCUUCUGACGAUCCAUCAUGCCAUUAAUUUGGUGUGGUGGGGAAUCAGGACUGUUACUUUGAAAAAAUUAGAAUGUUUAAAGCAGGCUCACGCUUGAAUACAUUAGCAUGGAAUAACGAAAUAGGACGUUGAUCCUAUUUUGUUGGUUUCUAGGAUUGACGUAAUGAUUAAUAGGGAUAGUUGGGGGCAUUAGUAUUCAAUUGUCAGAGGUGAAAUUCUUGGAUUUAUUGAAGACUAAACUACUGCGAAAGCAUUUGCCAAGGAUGUUUUCAUUAAUCAAGAACGAAAGUUAGGGGAGUCGAAGACGAUCAGAUACCGUCGUAGUCUUAACCAUAAACUAAUGCCGACUAGGGAUCGGAUGAUGUUAAUUUUAUUAAUUGACUCUAA